Molecule: ribosomal RNA, 280 nt
Filed under: uncultured bacterium
Lineage: Bacteria
Description: partial 16S ribosomal RNA
Rfam family: Bacterial small subunit ribosomal RNA
Source: RNAcentral
GUGGAUUAGAUACCCUGGUAGUCCACGCCGUAAACGAUGGAUACUAGCUGUUCGGGUUUACCUGAGUGGCUAAGCGAAAGUGAUAAGUAUCCCACCUGGGGAGUACGGGCGCAAGCCUGAAACUCAAAGGAAUUGACGGGGGCCCGCACAAGCGGUGGAGCAUGUGGUUUAAUUCGAUGAUACGCGAGGAACCUUACCAGGGCUUAAAUGUAAGUUGCAUUAGGUGGAGACACUUAUUUCUUCGGACUACUUACAAGGUGCUGCACGGUUGUCGCCAGCU